AUUGAACGCUGGCGGCAGGCUUAACACAUGCAAGUCGAGCGAGCGGCGGACGGGUGAGUAAUGUCGGGGAAACUGCCUGAGGGAGGGGGAUAACUACUGGAAACGGUAGCUAAUACCGCAUAACAUCAUGUGUGCCCAGAUGGGUUUGGCUAGUAGGUGGGGUAAUGGCUCACCUAGGCGUCGAUCCCUAGCUGGUCUGAGAGGAUGACCAGCCACACUGGAACUGAGACACGGGCCAGACUCCUACGGGAGGCAGCAGUGGGGAAUAUUGCACAAUGGGCGCAAGCCUGAUGCAGCCAUGCCGCGUGUGUGAAGAAGGCCUUCGGGUUGUAAAGCACUUUCAGCGGGGAGGCGUUACUCGCAGAAGAAGCACCGGCUAACUCCGUGCCAGCCGCCGCGGUAAUAC
This 406-nucleotide ribosomal RNA is filed under the name uncultured bacterium. Its description in RNAcentral is "partial 16S ribosomal RNA". It matches the Rfam family "Bacterial small subunit ribosomal RNA", at positions 30 to 526 of the family's 1533-position model. The record is from RNAcentral.